UUAGUAGCGGCGAGCGAAGCGGCAACAGCUCAAAUUUGAAAUCUGGCUACUUUGUAGUCCGAGUUGUAAUUUGCAGAGGAUGCUUUUGGUGAGGUGCCUUCCGAGUUCCCUGGAACGGGACGCCAGAGAGGGUGAGAGCCCCGUACGGUUGGACACCAAACCUUUGUAUAGCUCCUUCAACGAGUCGAGUAGUUUGGGAAUGCUGCUCUAAAUGGGAGGUAUAUCUCUUCUAAAGCUAAAUACCGGCUAGAGACCGAUAGCGCACAAGUAGAGUGAUCGAAAGAUGAAAAGCACUUUGAAAAGAGAGUUAAACAGCACGUGAAAUUGUUGAAAGGGAAGCGCCUAUGACCAGACUUGUUUCUGUCAGUUUUGCUUGUUUUCGGACUUGUUUACUCUGUCAGUACAGGCCAACAUCAGUUUGUUGUUUGGGAGAAAGGCUUAGGGAAUGUGGCUCCCUCGGGAGUGUUAUAGCCCUUUGCAUAAUACCAUUCGGCAGACUGAGGACCGCGCUUCGGCAAGGAUGUUGGCGUAAUGGUCAUCAGCGACCCGUCUUGAAACACGGACCAAGGAGUCAACCUUAUGUGCGAGUGUUUGGGUGUAAAACCCCAGCGCGUAAUGAACGUGAACGUAGGUGAGAGCUUCGGCGCAUCAUCGACCGAUUCUGAUGUUCUCGGAUGGAUUUGAGUAAGAGCAUAUAGGGUUGGACCCGAAAGAAGGUGAACUAUGCUUGUAUAGGGUGAAGCCAGAGGAAACUCUGGUGGAGGCUCGCAGCGGUUCUGACGUGCAAAUCGAUCGUCAAAUAUGAGCAUGGGGGCGAAAGACUAAUCGAACCUUCUAGUAGCUG
This 844-nucleotide ribosomal RNA is filed under the name Endoconidiophora polonica. RNAcentral describes it as "partial large subunit ribosomal RNA". It matches the Rfam family "Eukaryotic large subunit ribosomal RNA", at positions 80 to 953 of the family's 3401-position model. Lineage: Eukaryota; Fungi; Ascomycota; Sordariomycetes; Microascales; Ceratocystidaceae. The record is from RNAcentral.